RNAcentral lists this ribosomal RNA (270 nucleotides) under uncultured prokaryote. Its description in RNAcentral is "partial 16S ribosomal RNA". It matches the Rfam family "Bacterial small subunit ribosomal RNA", at positions 524 to 794 of the family's 1533-position model. The record is from RNAcentral.
UACGUAGGGGCGAGCGUUGUCCGGAAUGAUUGGGCGUAAAGGGCGCGUAGGCGGCUAUGCAAGUCUGGAGUGAAAGUCCUAUUUUCAAGGUAGGAAUUGCUUUGGAAACUGUGUAGCUUGAGUGCAGGAGAGGUUAUCGGAAUUCCCGGUGUAGCGGUGAAAUGCGUAGAGAUCGGGAGGAACACCAGUGGCGAAGGCGGGUAACUGGACUGCAACUGACGCUGAGGCGCGAAAGUGUGGGGAGCAAACAGGAUUAGAUACCCUGGUAGU